UGGGGAAUUUUGGACAAUGGGCGAAAGCCUGAUCCAGCAAUGCCGCGUGUGUGAAGAAGGCCUUCGGGUUGUAAAGCACUUUUGUCCGGAAAGAAAUCCUUGGCUCUAAUACAGUCGGGGGAUGACGGUACCGGAAGAAUAAGCACCGGCUAACUACGUGCCAGCAGCCGCGGUAAUACGUAGGGUGCAAGCGUUAAUCGGAAUUACUGGGCGUAAAGCGUGCGCAGGCGGUUUGCUAAGACCGAUGUGAAAUCCCCGGGCUCAACCUGGGAACUGCAUUGGUGACUGGCAGGCUAGAGUAUGGCAGAGGGGGGUAGAAUUCCACGUGUAGCAGUGAAAUGCGUAGAGAUGUGGAGGAAUACCGAUGGCGAAGGCAGCCCCCUGGGCAAUACUGACGCUCAUGCACGAAAGCGUGGGGAGCAAACAGGAUUAGAUACCCUGGUAGUCCACGCCCUAAAACGAUGUCAACUAGUUGUUGGGGAUUCAUUUCCUUAGUAACGUAGCUAACGCGUGAAGUUGACCGCCUGGGGAGUACGGUCGCAAGAUUAAAACUCAAAUGAAUUGACGGGGU
RNAcentral lists this ribosomal RNA (571 nucleotides) under uncultured bacterium. RNAcentral describes it as "partial 16S ribosomal RNA". It matches the Rfam family "Bacterial small subunit ribosomal RNA", at positions 355 to 919 of the family's 1533-position model. The record is from RNAcentral.